CCUACGGGUCGCACCAGUGGGGAAUAUUGCACAAUGGGCGCAAGCCUGAUGCAGCCAUGCCGCGUGUAUGAAGAAGGCCUUCGGGUUGUAAAGUACUUUCAGCGGGGAGGAAGGCGAUAAGGUUAAUAACCUUGUCGAUUGACGUUACCCGCAGAAGAAGCACCGGCUAACUCCGUGCCAGCAGCCGCGGUAAUACGGAGGGUGCAAGCGUUAAUCGGAAUUACUGGGCGUAAAGCGCACGCAGGCGGUUUGUCAAGUCGGAUGUGAAAUCCCCGGGCUCAACCUGUGAACUGCAUUAGAGACUGGCAGGCUGGAGUCUUGUAGAGGGGGGUAGAAUUCCAGGUGUAGCGGUGAAAUGCGUAGAGAUCUGGAGGAAUACCGGUGGCGAAGACGGCCCCCUGGACAAAGACUGACGCUCAGGUGCGAAAGCGUGGGGAGCAAACAGGAUUAGAUACCCGUGUAGUC
This 465-nucleotide ribosomal RNA is filed under the name uncultured bacterium. RNAcentral describes it as "bacterial SSU rRNA". It matches the Rfam family "Bacterial small subunit ribosomal RNA", at positions 338 to 795 of the family's 1533-position model. The record is from RNAcentral.